This is a long non-coding RNA of Balaenoptera acutorostrata (minke whale), 5275 nucleotides long. RefSeq lists it as uncharacterized. The record is from RefSeq and is a predicted model, not a curated record. NCBI's taxonomy places the organism in Eukaryota, Metazoa, Chordata, Mammalia, Artiodactyla, Balaenopteridae. The transcript has 10 exons.
GCCACAAGUUCAUAGCCGCUGGCUCAUAGCAGCUUCCGGAACAGAUUGGAGUUUUCCUAUAAGCCCUAGAGAGUUAGGCUGCCACAUCAACAUGAGUGCCUUCAGAACUCGGGUUCCAAGGAAGGUCAGCGACGGCACGUUCUUAUUGCUUUAACCUUUCUGCCCACAUUGAGGAAAUUCGCAGCAAGCAAGGCUUGAGUGUCACUCAUUGGAAAGAUAAAUGCAGAAUGAGUUCCGAGAGUGCUUGGAAAUGUCAUCUUCCAUAGCAUCAUCUUACAGUCAAUGAAGACGCUAAUUGAGCAGCUGAAGACUCAUGGACUGAGAAUGUCAACUACUUCAAUGGCUCAAAUACUAACAAGAAACCAUUAACAUCAAAACAUGAUACAUAGGAUGGAUCUGAUGACUGGUCUAUCACGUUUUCAUUUUGUGGGUGAUGUACAUGGAUCAUAAUCUGAGGUGGAAUCAUUUAAUCUCAGCUGAACAUUAUUUUUUUCUCAAGUAUCCUCCCUUAAAUCUUUUUUUUUUUCUUCCAGAUCAGUAGCACUUCAUCAUUAGUGAAGAUAUUUAUUUUCUACUCUAUUUUCUAGGAAUUGGUUGGAGGGAGGUACGGAGGAAGAAGGGGAGGAUUAUAUAGGGAGAAUAUGCUGCCUCACCAAAAUGAAGUAGCUCUCUGAAAACGGAGGGAAAGGUAUCGACUUUUCUAGUGGAUGUAAUGCUGACACUGACUCAAGAAUAGAUACUGCAGAGCAUGAGUGGGUACACUGUAUUUUUACUUAAUCAAUAUUUUGAAAUUGUUUGAUUCAGUCUGUCACAUUAUUUCCCUCAGCAACAAUUUUUGCCAGUAACACAUUGCCCUUUGUGGGAUAAAUUCAUCCCAGAAAAUAACUAUUUAGCAUCUUCUAAAUGUAAGGAGCUUUAGACAAUACAAAGAUAAAACAGAACAGAGGUUGCCUUUAAAAAAAUGUGUAGUGAGUAAAAUAGCUAAGACAUCUGGCAUAUAAACAUAACGUGUUAUGGACUGAAAGAGAUGUUCACACUAUAUCAAAUACUAUAGCAUUUCAGAGGACUGAAAAGUUUUCUCCAAACUGAGGUUCUACCAAGUAUUCAGGUGUGGAGGAGGAGGGUUAUCAUCUCAGGCAUCAUCUGUCUACACACUGGCAUCUGAUGGGACAUCUACCACCCCACCAGUCCUCACUUGCUGAUUCCACAGAGGCAACAAGAUCAGCCACUAGAGGAAGUUAAGUGCUUUGCGGUGCUGGGCAGCAACACAGGAACUGACUUAUGAAGGAAAGUCGCUGUUAAGAUUUCUUUCUGCCUCUUAGAAUGUCCAGAAGCUCUAGAAAACGGACUUUGAAUUCAUAAUUUAGUAACCAAAUGCUCUCAGCUGCAACUGUCUUUAGGAAUCUUGGCCACCAUUGAUGCCACUGACCUCACAGAUUUUCCUCCCAACUUCACAGGGACACAGUCCACAGUGAGUAUCCUCAUGCCUGUACUCCAUGUGUCUCUACUUACCAUCUACCCCAAAGCUUCCCUUGUGCAGGAGAAUGCUGGCUACUAUAUAAACCGUUCUUGAGGGACAAGAAUUGAAGCAGGAAGCCCAGUUAGAAUGCUAUUUCAGCAGCUGAGAGAUGUGGACCUGAAUUUAAGUAAUCUUGGACUAUGCAGCAAGAGCAUCAUUUUAAGAUUAAACAAACAAACAGAAAAGAAUACAUCUAAGAUGAAUAUAUAUCUACAGGAUACACAGCAGAGGCAGCAGAUUCUUUUUCCAUAUAGGCCAUUACUCGGCAUAUACCUGGAGAAAACCAUAAUUCGAAAAGAUACAUGCAACCCAAUGUUCAUCGCAGCACUAUUUAUAAUAACCAAGACAUGGAAGCAACCUAAAUGUUCAUCAACAGAGGAAUGGAUAAAGAAGAUGUGAUACAUAUGUACAAUGGAAUAUUACUCAGCCAUAAAAAGAACAAAAUAAUGUCAUUUGCAGCAACAUGUCUGGACCUAGAGAUCGUCAUACUGAGUGAAGCAAGCUGAAAGCCGACCCUGUCAAUUGGCAUCAUCAUUAGCAAGCUACUGCCGAGAAAAAGAUCAUGUGUCCCUGGAAAGGGUGUGCUUCGUCAUUUCCCCCCAAACUGGAUGGGAAAGAAGAUUCAUCUUUCUCCUCAUUCUGUUCCAAUGCAAAAUUCAUCCUUCUGGUGAAUUGGAGGAUCUGCUGAUGUGAAAGUUUGUUUUGUCCUGACUUUCAAUAAUUUCCUCAGCAUGCAAAAGGACACGUUAAUGCUGGACAACAAAACCCAGUAGCGGGUUCCCACCACAAAGCAAAGUUUCAUGACCACAUGUCCAAAAACAAGUUUUUACGUCUUCUCCCUCCUCCCAAGAGUACAAUUCCAUUGGUUAUGACAUAAGCCACUAGGGAACACGGUGGUUGUUCUCUUGGGUAAUCUGUUUGCAAGAACUUGCAAAAUGGUCCUCAAAUUAGCAUGCCACACAUUAUUUAAAAUUCAAGGAAAAAAAGUCUUUGGCUUCCAAGUAAAGAUAGGAGAUAGAAAAGAAGUUGAUUUUAAGUAUAUAAAUGUUUAUAUAGGAGUAUAUAAAAAUGUUUGUACUUUUACUCAGUAACCUCAAUGUUUUUGAUUGCUUUGGGUUCCUUUAGUUGACCCUUUAUGCCAUGUUUUAUAGUAUAUGUCCUACUUGUGUAACAGUCAUCAGACAAAGGGGCUUUGGGCUACACAGCCAGUAUCUAAGAAUGUUAUGUUCAGUUUAGCUUGGUGUUACACCAAGGGAAUCCACAUCCAUCCUCAGUUCAAUGCUGUUCUGAGGAAGAGAAACAUAUCCAAUCAAUGAAAAUAUGGACAACUAUAACCAGUGAACAUAUGGGUGAGUCAUCUAAUAUAGCACUGACCUUAAAACUUAAAAAUGAAUUGUUUUUAGUCAAGACCGAAAAUUUUGAUAAAUGGAAAAUUGCCCUAAUGACUUUUCAAGUUAGACUUUUUUUAUUUGAUAAAGUUGCUAGAAAUUCAUUACCUUCCUCUGAGGUCUUCUAACUCUUCCAUUUGGAGAGAAAGAAAAAGAAUAUUUCAGCACUUCAGAAAGUGGAAACUGAGAUUCACCCCUCUUUUCACAAAGGUAAAUGAUACUUCCUUUUGAAAGGAUCAUUAUGGUCUCAUGUUAGUGACACAUGAAAGAGAUGACCUCACACUUCACAAAUUAAUAUCCAUAGUAAUUAUAAUAACUUUCCUUAAAAGUUACCUUUUAUCAUUAAACGUCACUGGAAACCAAAUAUACUAGACUUUAUUUAUUGAAAUGUGUGACUCACAGCACGGGUCCUCAUGACGUGUGAGCUCUGGUACUGAGCUUGCCCUGUAUUUAUUUUUCCUCCCCACCUACACUACGUCUUCAUCGACACAGUUUUUCCUGUCAUUAUGCAUGGAUUGUUUAAAAACUGCCCCAAGUUCUUUCCAAAGCCAGAUGAUUAUCUUGUUUCAACAUCAGAAAUAUAUAUUGUGAUAUGGUCAGAAUUUCAUUAUUAUGUCAAAAUAUUCUUACCCUGAGACAGAGAAAAAGUUUUGUGGAGAUUACAAAAUUUCCAGUUACUCUGAAAUAUGGUUCUUACUAUUUCAUUGCUCCAUGAAGUUAUUCAUCUCCUUGAAGACAGCAGUUGACUCUCUUUUUAUCCCCUGAUUGCACCUGGCCCAGAGUUUGUCAAUUACUUCAUUUUUAAGAUGUGACAGUUAUCACAUAAUACUUGAAAUAUACCUUUUUUUUGUACUUUUAAGUUACUUUUUAUGUUACAUUCCGAAAUAUUAAACUGAAAAGAAAAGGUGCUGUACUAAAAUAUUUUUCAAGUCCUUCUUUACAUGCCUUUGCUUUUGGUUACUUGACUUUGAUGUUAUUGUUCUUCAUUUUGUAUGUAUGUGUUUUGUCUUUCCCAGCAUACACAUGCUACUGCCCUUCUUAAAUGUUUCAUGCUCUACUGCCUUUAGAGAAUUUUGAAUGUGUUAUGCAUUUAUAUGUUUGAGUCAUCACAACUACUAUAGGUUAAUAUUCAAGAAACACAUAAUCAAGUUAAAGCUCUUCAAAUAAAAAUUAUAAUUCUAAUAUUGGAACUCAUUUCCUUCAUAUACUAACAUUUCUGGAAAAAGAAAAAGCUGAGUACAUCAUUAUUCCAGAAAACUUUUACUGUUUUCCAAAGCUUCUUCUUAGAAGACAUGCCAAAGAUGUUUGGGGUCAAAGUUUGAUAAAUACUUUUUGAGGGUUGGGUCAGUCUAGUAAAGAUUUAAGAGUAACAAACUGCAGCAUUUUUGCUGAAUUAAGGCAAACCACUUAACCAAUUUGGAUAUCCAUUUCCUCUGGUAAAAUAAGAGAUGGGAUGCCUGACUCCUUUCUGAAAUCUAUUCUUUAAAAAUAAAUAGAUGCAUGCACUGAGUUAUUAAAGUAAGGCCAUAAUUCUUAAAGUACUUUUGCUUUGGAAGUUGUUUUAAAUAAAUAGUAUUAACUUCAAUGGAACAUAUGCCAAAGAGUAUCAUUACUAUCUUUCAAUAUUAACCAUAUUAACAGAUAGUUUUUUAAUUAUAAAAUUUUGUGUAUAGCGAUUGAGCAAAGUUUAACACAUUUUUUAAAUCAGGUACACUGUUGAUUCAAGGAGAAGUUUGAUAAAAAAUUCUUCCUAAAACAAAGAGAAUUACAAAUAUGACCACAGUUUAUCCAGAGAUCCUGGGGUUCUAGGAAGCCUACAAAUUUAACAUUAACAUAGUUUGGGGGUUUGGGGGAGGUGGAACAAAUUAUUUCCCCAAAUUCAAAUUGGAAAGUAAUUUUGGUAAUUGUUAGUAAGUGAUAAAAUUUCAAAAUACAUGAAAUCAGCUAUCCACAUUUUGAAAUAGAAUCACAAUAUUCCAGGUUUAGGAAAACAGCCAUGCACAUAAUAUCUUAGGACCCAAGGUAGAUGCAAAUAUGAGUCAUCCCAGGGCCAAGCACUUUAUUCCAUGCUUUACAGUGUAUGUCCUCAUUGUGUAACCAUCAUCAUCGAGAAGGCUCUGCAUUACACAGACAAUCAUGAGAAUGUUAUAUUAGAUUUUUGUAGUAGUCAUCAGGUUUUUCCACCUGUUACGUGCAAGAUCUUGCUGUGUUUUCAUUAUUAUAGUUUAAUUUUAACCAUCUGAUUCCUGUUAUAUCAAAUUACCCACCAUUCCAUUAACAAACCCCAAAUCUGUGUUCUUGUUCACACUAUUUGCCCCCUCAGAAUGUCCAGAUGUGUAUCCUACUUGAAGUCUUCUUGACAACUAAU